GUAACGGUGGAAUGCGCAGAUAUCAGGAGGAACACCGAUGGCGAAGGCAGGUCUCCUGGGCUGUAACUGACGCUGAGGAGCGAAAGCAUGGGGAGCGNACANGAUUAGAUACCCUGGUAGUCCAUNCCGUAAACGUUGGGCACUAGNUGUGGGGACCAUUCCACGNUUUCCGCGCCGCAGCUAACGCAUUAAGUGCCCCGCCUGGGGAGUACGGCCGCAAGGCUNAAACUCAAAGGAAUUGACGGGGGCCCGCACAAGCGGCGGAGCAUGCGGAUUAAUUCGAUGCAACGCGAAGAACCUUACCAAGGCUUGACAUGUUCUCGAUCNCCGUAGAGAUACGGUUUCCCCUUUGGGNUGGGUUCACAGGUGGUGCAUGGUUGUCGUCAGCUCGUGUCGUGAGAUGUUGGGUUAAGUCCCGCAACGAGCGCAACCCUCGUUCCAUGUUGCCAGCACGUAAUGGUGGGGANUCAUGGGAGACUGCCGGGGUCAANUCGGAGGAAGGUGAGGACGACGUCAAAUCAUCAUGCCCCUUAUGUCUUGGGCUUCACGCAUGNUACAAUGGCCGGUACAAUGGGUUGCGAUACUGUGAGGUGGAGNUAAUCCCUAAAANCCGGUNUCAGUUCGGNUUGGGGUUUGCAACUCGACCCCAUGAA
RNAcentral lists this ribosomal RNA (653 nucleotides) under Micrococcus luteus. RNAcentral describes it as "partial 16S ribosomal RNA". It matches the Rfam family "Bacterial small subunit ribosomal RNA", at positions 675 to 1324 of the family's 1533-position model. The record is from RNAcentral. Lineage: Bacteria; Bacillati; Actinomycetota; Actinomycetes; Micrococcales; Micrococcaceae.